Molecule: long non-coding RNA, 1533 nt
Organism: Tachysurus fulvidraco (yellow catfish)
Lineage: Eukaryota; Metazoa; Chordata; Actinopteri; Siluriformes; Bagridae
Exons: 3
Source: RefSeq, a predicted model, not a curated record
AGGGAUAUCGGAUGGAGGGAUAGCUGACGAAGGUAUAGCGGAUUGGGGGAUAGCAAAAGGAAAGCUAGUGGAUGGAGGGAUAGAUGACAGAGAUAGUGGAUGGAGGGAUAGUGGAUGGAGGGAUAGCUGACAGAUAGCAGAUGGAGGGAUAGUGGAUGGAGGGAUAGCUGACAGAGAUGGUGGAUGGAGGGAUAGUAGAUGGAGGGAUAGCUGACGGACAGAAAGCGGAUGGAGGGAUAGUAGAUGGAGGGAUAGCUGAGAUAGAGAAAGCGGAUGGAGGGAUAGUAGAUGGAGGGAUAGCUGACGGAGAGAAAGCGGAUGGAGGGAUAGUAGAUGGAGGGAUAGCUAAGAUAGAGAAAGCGGAUGGAGGGAUAGUAGAUGGAGGGAUAGCUGACAGAGAGAAAGCGGAUGGACGGAUAGCUGACAGAGAUAGCUGACGGAGAGAAAGCGGAUGGACGGAUAGCUGACAGAGAUAGCGGAUGGUGGGAUAGUGGAUGGAGAGAUAGCGGAUGGAGGGCUAGCUGACAAAGAUCACAAAAGUACCUAAUCUUGUUGCUCAUCGUCACUUCCUGUCCCUGUUCUGAUUACUUUACUCAGAGAAUGUGUGUGUGUGUGUGUGUGUGUGUGUGUGUGUGUGUGUGUGUGUGUGUGUGUGUGUGUGUGUGUGUGUGACGCUCUCUGUCUCUCCCACACCUGUGUAUUCUCUGUACAGUUAAAACUACGUCACUGGAGGAGAAAAGCUCAUCUGCUUCCUGCUAUGAAAAGGUUAAUUAGCUUAUGUGCAGACUUCCACACUGUGUGUCUCUCAGAAGAGCUGUCCAAACAUGGACUUUCACCUGCGGCUGUACACACACGCGCAAACACACACACACGCACACACACGCGUACACGCGCACACACACACACACGCACACACACGCGUACACGCGCACACACACACACACACGAAACACCUAAACCAAAAUUGAAACACUGCCAAACACGAAGACAGGAGAUCAGAGCAGAAGGAGCGCAUCACUGCACUGGCACAGAGACGGAGAGAAAGAGAGAGAAACACACACCUGCUCAAGGCACGCAGACGAGACGGGGCAUAAUAAAGACACUGACGAGAUCAACAAGGGACUGUGGCAGGAGGGAAGUUAGGAAGGAAGGAAGGAAGGAAGGAAGGAAGGAAGGAAGGAAGGAAGGAAGGAAGGAAAAACAGUAAAGGAAAUAACACGAGCAGCAACUAUGUACAAAGUGGCGGAGAGACGUACAGCAGGAGAAUCCCAGCAGGUUAAUAAAGCUGGAACAGAAUCCACAGUCUGGACCUUCAUGUCUACUAUCAGUUCCACAGUGAGGUGAUCAGAGGAACAUACAGAGGCAGCCAUCAAAAGAUCCCCAGCUGCACAGAGUAUAAACUGGAGGACAGAAGUUUCCACCAAAACUGAUCUGAUGUCUUUUUUAUUCUCUUUCUUCUGUCCUUCUUUUGGGAUUUUCUUCUUUUGUUUCUAUAUUCUGUAUUUUUUAAUUUCUUUUUUUCUUUCUUUCCAA